CGUGAGGAACCUGCCUUUCAGAGGGGGACAACAGUUGGAAACGACUGCUAAUACCGCAUAACAUAUGUUUGUCGCAUGGCAGAUAUAUCAAAGAUUUAUCGCUGAGAGAUGGCCUCGCGUCUGAUUAGCUAGUUGGUAGGGUAACGGCCUACCAAGGCGACGAUCAGUAGCCGGACUGAGAGGUUGGCCGGCCACAUUGGGACUGAGAUACGGCCCAGACUCCUACGGAAGGCAGCAG
This 238-nucleotide ribosomal RNA is filed under the name uncultured bacterium. RNAcentral describes it as "partial 16S ribosomal RNA". It matches the Rfam family "Bacterial small subunit ribosomal RNA", at positions 116 to 354 of the family's 1533-position model. The record is from RNAcentral.